Molecule: long non-coding RNA, 1412 nt
Organism: Selaginella moellendorffii
Lineage: Eukaryota; Viridiplantae; Streptophyta; Lycopodiopsida; Selaginellales; Selaginellaceae
Exons: 3
Source: RefSeq, a predicted model, not a curated record
CAGGGGCGUUGCACCGUCUGUAGCAGCAGAUUCCGAGACGGACAUCACCACACAGCACAAAACCAAGCGAAUGAGUCAUGCAAGGAACUUCUUUGGAUGCACCAUACGGGAGUGUAAGAUCUCUUGUGGCCAUUUCUCAGGCUGGAUGCCAAAAUUACAAUUGGGCCAUGGAUCGCGACAAAGAACCAAGGAUUUGUUAAAAAAGGAAAUGACAUUGCUUCUCAAGAAAUCUGGUCCCUCUUUUCAGGAAGUAUAGGUUCGGUCCAACCUUGAAACUCUUGUCUGGUUCUCUGGGUAACAAGUAUGUCUCUACUCUCUAACCGGAAAAGCAGAAGAAGGCAUCACUCAUGCUCGGACUCUGGUGUUUACCACGACUGAUGCCGCCCAAUGUCUCCUCGUGAAGGGGACCAUGCUCUCUCGAGGGAAGUGAUAUUGUUAGUUGUGGAGGUGGCCAGCCAGAAGGAGGUACCUUGGCCUCUUUCCAGUUACUUUGAGUCUCAUUCUGAUGUUCUUGUGGUUGACCCUGCCAAGCGCAACGAUGCUCCGCCACCAGCAGGGGAGACGAGAAACUAAAAAUAUUUUCGUCCCUCUCGCGUGACAAAAUGUGAUUUAAAUGCGCUUCUGGCGCCUGUGUAUUCUUCACUGUGCCAAUGCCAAGGUAAGUUGGCAAUCUUUCCAGUGAUUUUGGAUACCAAGGGAAACUGUGGGAUCAGCGAGGCUUUGCUGGCAUAUUCGUUUCUAAAAACGAAUCUACUCAGCAUAAUUUUAUUAUGGAGUUCUUCCAUGGUGAAUGGCGUCCUUCUCUGAGUCCUGCGACUUGGCUUCAUCUUAUGGUUUGUGGCGUCUUUCCUUUUCAGCAGUUUUCCAAUAAGAAAUCUUUCGACGACGAUGAUUAGCUCUGGUACUUUCUUGAGCUUCUUUGUUUUGCAUUGUGUGUAUCUUUUUAGGUGAUUACCUUCGACGAAAAAUCAGGUGGCAAGAUCGUCUGACAAGCUGGCCUUGACUAGGUGAACUCUUAAUUCUAGUUCUAGUUUCUUCAAAUCUUUAGUUAUGUAAAGUUGUGUUUUCUGGUGUGCAACAAGUUUGAUGAUGUUUUCAGAGCGCACGAACUUUUGACAGGAGAGGGUCCAUCAGCAAUUACGACUUCUCACAGGGUCAAAGAAGAGAGUGACGUGCUAUGGAAUCCAAGACAGCAGAGUACACAGUGGUAUGUUUUUUAACAGCUGAUCAUACCAUCCUUUUUACAUCCUUUUCAUUGUUGUGAGAGCACAAAGAGGAGGAGAUUAUAAUGGUUUUUCACAGCAGCAAGUUGUGGUUAUUUUUUGCUCAUGUCGUUGUGCUAAUCUGUGUUUUGGAUCCUUUGCCAUAUAGAUGACACUGAAACAAGACGUAGUAUGUAACUUAACUACUUC